RNAcentral lists this transfer-messenger RNA (351 nucleotides) under Candidatus Stahliibacteriota bacterium. It matches the Rfam family "transfer-messenger RNA". Rfam says of the family: Bacterial tmRNA, also known as 10Sa RNA or SsrA, is named for its dual tRNA and mRNA-like properties. Its role is to liberate the mRNA from a stalled ribosome. To accomplish this part of the tmRNA is used as a reading frame that ends in a translation stop signal. Lineage: Bacteria; Candidatus Stahliibacteriota. The record is from RNAcentral.
GGGGGCGAAGGGUAUCGACGGGGUGAUGAUGGUGCCGAGGCGCAUACCGAGGUUCCAGGCCCCCUCGUAAAUCCGACCUGGGAACAACAGUUCCCGAGAUGGGAUACGCCCUGGCUGCCUGAGAAGAAGGCGGCCUCGUCUCCAUCAGUUGUUCCGAUUCGGCUGGUGGUAGACGGCAUAGAGGAUCGGAUAGGAUCGGUGAUGCUCCUAAGCCGGUCUGAAGACCAAGGGGCUGGCCGUGGGGGAUCCUGUCUCCUGGAGCCGUCACGGUGAGAUAAAAAGGAGGCUAAGUAUGUAGGGUCCGUCACCUGAACACCCCGGACGCGGGUUCGAUUCCCGCCGCCUCCAUUU